ACCUACGGCCAUGCUACCCUGAACAAGCCCGAACCCAUGUGAUCUCAGAAGCUAAGCAGAGCCUGGUUAGUACUUGGAUGGGAGACCACCUAGAAAGACCAGGUGCUGGAAGCA
This 114-nucleotide ribosomal RNA is filed under the name Pteropus alecto (black flying fox). The record is from RNAcentral. Lineage: Eukaryota; Metazoa; Chordata; Mammalia; Chiroptera; Pteropodidae.